This 460-nucleotide ribosomal RNA is filed under the name uncultured bacterium. RNAcentral describes it as "partial 16S ribosomal RNA". It matches the Rfam family "Bacterial small subunit ribosomal RNA", at positions 338 to 795 of the family's 1533-position model. The record is from RNAcentral.
CCUACGGGAGGCAGCAGUGAGGAAUAUUGGUCAAUGGACGAGAGUCUGAACCAGCCAAGUAGCGUGAAGGAUGACUGCCCUAUGGGUUGUAAACUUCUUUUAUAUGGGAAUAAAAUGUUCCACGUGUGGGAUUUUGUAUGUACCAUAUGAAUAAGGAUCGGCUAACUCCGUGCCAGCAGCCGCGGUAAUACGGAGGAUCCGAGCGUUAUCCGGAUUUAUUGGGGUUAAAGGGAGCGUAGGUGGAGUGUUAAGUCAGUUGUGAAAGUUUGCGGCUCAACCGUAAAAUUGCAGUUGAAACUGGCAGUCUUGAGUACAGUAGAGGUGGGCGGAAUUCGUGGUGUAGCGGUGAAAUGCUUAGAUAUCACGAAGAACGCCGAUUGCGAAGGCAGUUCACUGGACUGCAACUGACACUGAGGCUCGAAAGUGUGGGUAUCAAACAGGAUUAGAUACCCCAGUAGUC